This 1524-nucleotide ribosomal RNA is filed under the name bacterium. RNAcentral describes it as "bacterial SSU rRNA". It matches the Rfam family "Bacterial small subunit ribosomal RNA". The record is from RNAcentral.
ACAACGGAGAGUUUGAUCCUGGCUCAGGACGAACGCUGGCGGCGUGCUUAACACAUGCAAGUCGAACGAAGUAGCAAUACUUAGUGGCGGACGGGUGCGUAACACGUGACUAACUUGCCCUACACUGUGGAAUAACGGAGGGAAACUUCCGCUAAUACCGCAUGUUGAGCGAAGGUGGCAUCACCUUUUCUUGAAAGAUUUAUCGGUGUAGGAUAGGGUCGCGGCCUAUUAGCUUGUUGGUGGGGUAAUGGCCUACCAAGGCGACGAUGGGUAGCUGGUCUGAGAGGAUGAUCAGCCACACUGGGACUGAGAUACGGCCCAGACUCCUACGGGAGGCAGCAGUGAGGAAUAUUGCGCAAUGGACGAAAGUCUGACGCAGCAACGCCGCGUGAAGGAUGAAGGUGCUCUGCAUUGUAAACUUCUGUAGGGAGGGAAGAACCCCCCGUUAUUGACGGGGCUGACGGUACCUCCAAAGUAAGCACCGGCUAAUUCCGUGCCAGCAGCCGCGGUAAUACGGAAGGUGCAAGCGUUGUCCGGAUUGACUGGGUGUAAAGGGCGCGUAGGCGGAGAGGUGUGUCGGGAGUGAAAUCGUGCGGCUUAACCGUAUCAAUUGCUUUCGAAACUACCUCCCUUGAGUACAGAAGGGGCAGAUGGAAUACCUGGUGUAGCGGUGGAAUGCGUAGAUAUCAGGUAGAACACCGGAGGCGAAGGCGGUCUGCUGGUCUGUAACUGACGCUGAGGCGCGAAAGUGUGGGGAGCAAACAGGAUUAGAUACCCUGGUAGUCCACACCGUAAACGAUGAUCACUAGUCGUCGGAGGAUUCGACCCCUUCGGUGACGGCGCUAACGCAUUAAGUGAUCCACCUGGGGAGUACGCUCGCAAGGGUGAAACUCAAAGGAAUUGACGGGAGCCCGCACAAGCGGUGGAGCAUGUGGUUUAAUUCGAUGCAACGCGAAGAACCUUACCUGGGCUCGAAGUGUAGUGUAAACUCAUGAAAGUGAGGUAUCCCUUCGGGGAGCGCUACAUAGGUGCUGCAUGGCUGUCGUCAGCUCGUGUCGUGAGAUGUUGGGUUAAGUCCCGCAACGAGCGCAACCCUUGUCCUUAGUUGCCAUCAGGUAAAGCUGGGAACUCUAAGGAGACUGCCGGCGUUAAGUCGGAGGAAGGUGGGGAUGACGUCAAGUCCUCAUGGCCCUUACGUCCAGGGCUACACACGUGCUACAAUGGCUGGUACAAUACGUCGCAAGACCGCGAGGUGGAGCUAAUCGUAAAAAACCAGUCUCAGUUCGGAUUGCUCUCUGCAACUCGAGAGCAUGAAGUCGGAAUCGCUAGUAAACGCGAAUCAGCAGGUCGCGUUGAAUACGUUCCCGGGCUUUGUACACACCGCCCGUCACACCAUGGGAGCCGGUAGGACCCGACGAUCCCUCGCCAACCGCAAGGAGGUAAGGAUCUAAGGUAAGCCCGGUGACUGGGGUGAAGUCGUAACAAGGUAGCCGUAUCGGAAGGUGCGGCUGGAUCACCUCCUUU